This is a long non-coding RNA of Gossypium arboreum, 445 nucleotides long. RefSeq lists it as uncharacterized. The transcript is spliced from 2 exons. The record is from RefSeq and is a predicted model, not a curated record. Lineage: Eukaryota; Viridiplantae; Streptophyta; Magnoliopsida; Malvales; Malvaceae.
AAUUCAUUCUCCUCAAAGUUUUAAAAAAAAAAAAACAAAAGAGGCUUCUCUCUUCUCUCUGUGCUAGCCCAAAAUCCGGCGAGGUCUCCGACCGAUCGCCACCGUGGUCCGCCGCCGGCUCCUGGAAAACCAAAAAAAGUUGAUGGCAGUGGAGCAGGUGGUGGUGGCAGACGGUAGACGUGACAGGCAUAGGGCGAUGGGACAGGGGGCAGAGGCGGUGCCUAGGGUUAGGAGCGGCUAGGUUUUUUUUUGGUUAAGGUUUGGGCUUUGGGUUUAUUUAAUGGGCUUGGGGUUUUUUAGGUUUUUUAAGGUUUGGGCUAAUUAGUUUUGGGUUUGGGGUCUGUUUAGUUGGUUGGGUUUUAUUGGCCCGGACAAAUUAGGCUUGUAACAGAACCUAUUGUGGAAAAGAAGUCGUAAUGAUAAAGUUUUAUCUUUAUUAGUGGGA